CUCUCCUUCCACUAAAUCCUCACGCGCGGUGAGUUCGAGCGGCGAGCAGGGCGGAUGCUCCUGCGGCGCUGCUUGAUACGGCGCAGCCGCCGCCGCCGGCGUUGGGCGCGCGCAACCCAGGAGAGCGGUUCGGCGACAGUGCUGCGUCGCGGCGCGGCGUGGCGGCCCGGCGCGGCUGAGCUGGAGUUCGCCCUCGACCAUGGGCGAAGGAAGAGAAAACGAGGGGGUAUCAUAGAAUUCCGUUUGGAUGGUUUACCCCGUGAUUCCGGCCAGCCGGAAUCGUCUUCCGGCGAUCGACAGGAAACUUCCGUUUUGGAAUGUCCUAUUAUUCGUUUUUUUUCCUGCAAUCCAAACGCACCUGGCCUAAGAUUUUCCUGCAGGAGAGCAUUCCUUUGGAAAUUCCUCCAAUCCAUACGGGACCAGUCAUCUCCGAUUCCGCAAUCCGACAGGAAUUUUCCGCUAUCGAAUAUGUGCAUUCCGGAGUUCCUCUGAGAUAGUACAGUACAUACAUGUUCAUUGUGUGAGUAGUGUCCAAUGUCCAUAGCAUCUUAUUCAAAUAUGAGCAUUUUUAGGUAGUUAAGAGGAUAAUAAGGAUAUAAGUAGGUUUUUUUGGGAGGGAAUAUGCAUUCAGCUUUCAAGUGUCUUUGUACAGGAUAUGAGUACUCUUACAUUGAGUUUCAGUGAUUUGUUCCAGAGAUUUUGGCUUCAUUGAGUUCCAGAAAACAGGAAUUGCAAGUCCUCCCACAUCCCAAUAGCCCAAUUUUUUUUCCCUAUAGAAUAGUAGUUGAAACAGUGGAGGAUGUUACAGGGUGAAGCCCCCCACCACCACCUCAAGCAAUCAGCAUGGACAAAAUAUAUCUACACCAUGUACAGCAAAUUACAAUCUCAGAUGACUCAUGAUAGUCAUGAUUCAGAGCAAAGUGGCUCGAUUUCUAUGGGCAGACCUCUCUGGAACUCCACGUACGGGUAUGCCAUCGGAAUGUCAUCGCCAUCAAUUCUCCAUCUGCACGGCACAAAGGUUUCAAGAAACGAAGAACGGUGAUCAGCCAACACUAUGCAUGAGAAGCCUGUAUACCUUCACUAGUUCCAGAUCUUGAACUGACUGCCCAAGGAAAUAGACAACCAUGGAGAUCAAGAGUGAGGUGGUCUCAUAUCCUCCUAGUAAGGAAUCCAGCACAAAGCUCACUUUCUCCUCAUCAGAGAGCUCAUUGCUUGAAAGCAGAACAUCAAGGAAAUCGCCCUUGUUGCUUGAUCCAGCAUUCCUCCUCUCCUGAAUAAUACCCUUCACAGUUCUUGAUAUCCUCUCUCUGGCCUGUGAGGAUCACCAGACAAAAGAAUGAGAGCUAUUAUGCUUUGGCAUAGGGUGUCCCUGGGAUGUAGAGAGGGAAAGAGAUGAGACCCUUCAUGAAGGCGAGAAAAUCCUCAAGUAUCUUGGCAGUGACCGGCUCCUCUGGUGACAGCCCCAGGACCUGCUUCACUAUUACACUGAAUGCGAACUGUGCUUCUCAAGGAAAGAGAGCACACCAAAGAGAAAAAGAAAAGAAAAAAAAGACCCUGAAGGCGAUGACAUUGACCCUCCCCUUGUCCUUGCUCUUGCCAUGCCAUGACCCAACUAUAUGCAGUGCAAUCUUCUCAAUGUCACCAAGGUAGCUGGGCUUGAGCUUUGUGGAGGUGACCAGUGCUAGAGCAAGGUUCCUGAGCCUUUUGUGGUCCUCCCCUAGGACCACUAACAUGGAGGACUUGCCCAGAAUGCCAUGAAUUGGCCUGGGGUAGCUGCACUGAAACAGCCUCUCCUCAUUCUGAAGGAUGAAGUGGUUCAGCUCCUGGUCACAGGACACUAUGGUGGGGGUGCAGAACAGAUGGGACUUGAACACCUUCCCAUACCUGCAUCAUCAUCACGCCAUCAGUAGUGUUACCACCAUGCUAGUCCCCCAUCAGGAGGAAGAAAAAGGGUAUGAUAAAGCCUGCUUGGACAGGACAGCAGCAUUACCUUUUGCCGUGUCACAUGAAAUAAUGUGAAGUGAAUUGGCUGCAUGCAUAUACUGUGCCAGUAGUAGCUUUUAUCAAGGAGGGCUAUGAGCCUACAGCCUAGGACUAGGAGGAUGGUCCAAUGCAGAGUAGCUAGCAUCUAGGCUGCUGCUGCUGCUUAAGGUGCAGUCAAACACGCAGGUAGAGAGAGAAAUGCAUUGGGGUACAUGUACAUGCAGAGCCAGGUGCAGAUCGAUGCAUAGGACAUUGGUGAUAAUUAAGCUCUCUGAUGGUGAAGCUUACUAUGUGCACACCUUGCAACCAAUCUUCGGGAGUGCACACCUUGCAACCAAUCUUCGGGAUACCCAUGCUUCAGUAUGGAUCAACCAGCGAGAGACAGCAGCUGCUCUUCUCAUCUGGGCCAUUUCCUAAAGCCAUUUCCUUUUCAUGAAAACAUAUGCAGCAACAGGAGUCGAUUUAUAUGGCCUUGAGUACUUUAGUUUGUCUGACUAUUGCUAUAGGCAACUUUUGUGUGCUUUGUCAAUGUCGUUUUGACGAUUGUUCUACCGAUCCUGGCCCUGUUUUUCUCCAUAGCAAUUCUAGUUGCCCUUUUACCGAGCUACUCCUUCGGUCCUACAAUGAUUUUAUUUUUUUAAGCAAUUACUGUAUUAAAUUUGGU
Oryza brachyantha (malo sina) is the source of this 2647-nucleotide long non-coding RNA. RefSeq lists it as uncharacterized. Lineage: Eukaryota; Viridiplantae; Streptophyta; Magnoliopsida; Poales; Poaceae. The record is from RefSeq and is a predicted model, not a curated record. The transcript is spliced from 7 exons.